GACGAACGCUGGCGGCGUGCUUAACACAUGCAAGUCGAACGGAAAGGCCCGGCUUUUGUGGGGUGCUCGGGUGGCGAACGGGUGAGUAACACGUGAGUAACCUGCCCUUGACUGUGGGAUAACUUCAGGAAACUGGGGCUAAUACCGGAUAGGAGCUCCUGCUGCAGGGUGGGGGUUGGAAAGUUUCGGCGGUUGGGAAUGGACUGGCGGCUUAUCAGCUUGUUGGGUGGGUAGUGUAUGACCAAGGCUUUGACCGGUAGCCGGCCUGGGAGGGGGACCGGCCCAGUCGCGCUGGGGCUACGGCACAGCCCAGUACGGGACGCAAGAGAGGGGUAUAUUAUACUAUGGGAGGAAGGCUGAUGCAGUCCAGCCGCGCGGGGGAUGACGGGAAUCGCGUUGUAUACCGAUGCCCCCUGAGACGAGGUGAGAGUGACGGUACUGGGUAAAGAAGCACCGGCUAACUACGUG
RNAcentral lists this ribosomal RNA (468 nucleotides) under uncultured bacterium. Its description in RNAcentral is "partial 16S ribosomal RNA". It matches the Rfam family "Bacterial small subunit ribosomal RNA", at positions 28 to 507 of the family's 1533-position model. The record is from RNAcentral.